This 257-nucleotide unclassified non-coding RNA is filed under the name uncultured fungus. RNAcentral describes it as "sequence contains ITS1". Lineage: Eukaryota; Fungi. The record is from RNAcentral.
UUGUUUAUUUUAAAAAUUUAUAAACUCAGACAGAAAUAUAUAAAAAAUGUAGAGUUACAAGUUCCUUUGGCAAAGACACAGCCACUCUAUUUUUAUUAUUAAAUAAAUAAAAAUAAAGAGUCACUGGUUGCUCAGCACGUAUGCUCAACAAGCGCUUCACCAAAGUAUUGGAAUUUCGAUACACAAAAGGGUGGGAGAUUUCCUGCAAGCAGGAAAAAAUCUCGGUAAUGAUCCUUCCGCAGGUUCACCUACGGAAA